GCGAAGCUGCGUAAGCGAUAGAAGCGGUUAUCCUUUUUUGUCGACUUGCGAGCCGACGAAAAAGAUAUGAGCGGAUGGCGCAGUCUUCA
Molecule: unclassified non-coding RNA, 89 nt
Filed under: Epilithonimonas pallida
Lineage: Bacteria; Pseudomonadati; Bacteroidota; Flavobacteriia; Flavobacteriales; Weeksellaceae
Description: Flavo-1 RNA
Source: RNAcentral